RNAcentral lists this ribosomal RNA (496 nucleotides) under uncultured bacterium. RNAcentral describes it as "partial 16S ribosomal RNA". It matches the Rfam family "Bacterial small subunit ribosomal RNA", at positions 28 to 506 of the family's 1533-position model. The record is from RNAcentral.
GAUGAACGCUGGCGGCGUGCCUAAUACAUGCAAGUCGAGCGAACGGACGAGAAGCUUGCUUCUCGGAUGUUAGCGGCGGACGGGUGAGUAACACGUGGAUAACCUACCUAUAAGACUGGGAUAACUUCGGGAAACCGGAUCUAAUACCGGAUAAUAUUUUGAACCGCAUGGUUCAAAAGUGAAAGACGGUCUUGCUGUCACUUAUAGAUGGAUCCGCGCUGCAUUAGCUAGUUGGUAAGGUAACGGCUUACCAAGGCAACGAUGCAUAGCCGACCUGAGAGGGUGAUCGGCCACACUGGAACUGAGACACGGUACAGACUCCUACGGGAGGCAGCAGUAGCGAAUCGUGCGCAAUGGGCGAAAGCCUGACGGAGCAACGGCGCGUGAGUGAUGAAGGUCUUCGGAUCGUAAAACUCUGUUAUUAGGGAAGAACAUAUGUGUAAGUAACUGUGCACAUCUUGACGGUACCUAAUCAGAAAGCCACGGCUAACUACGU